This 475-nucleotide ribosomal RNA is filed under the name uncultured bacterium. RNAcentral's name for it is "bacterial SSU rRNA". It matches the Rfam family "Bacterial small subunit ribosomal RNA", at positions 328 to 793 of the family's 1533-position model. The record is from RNAcentral.
CGCUAUCACUCCUACGGGGAGGCAGCAGUAGGGAAUCUUCCACAAUGGGCGCAAGCCUGAUGGAGCAACACCGCGUGAGUGAAGAAGGGUUUCGGCUCGUAAAGCUCUGUUGUUAAAGAAGAACACGUAUGAGAGUAACUGUUCAUACGUUGACGGUAUUUAACCAGAAAGUCACGGCUAACUACGUGCCAGCAGCCGCGGUAAUACGUAGGUGGCAAGCGUUAUCCGGAUUUAUUGGGCGUAAAGAGAGUGCAGGCGGUUUUCUUAAGUCUGAUGUGAAAGCCUUCGGCUUAACCGGAGAAGUGCAUCGGAAACUGGAUAACUUGAGUGCAGAAGAGGGUAGUGGAACUCCAUGUGUAGCGGUGGAAUGCGUAGAUAUAUGGAAGAACACCAGUGGCGAAGGCGGCUACCUGGUCUGCAACUGACGCUGAGACUCGAAAGCAUGGGUAGCGAACAGGAUUAGAUACCCUGGUAG